RNAcentral lists this ribosomal RNA (466 nucleotides) under uncultured Bacteroidota bacterium. Its description in RNAcentral is "bacterial SSU rRNA". It matches the Rfam family "Bacterial small subunit ribosomal RNA", at positions 28 to 488 of the family's 1533-position model. The record is from RNAcentral. Lineage: Bacteria; Pseudomonadati; Bacteroidota.
GAUGAACGCUAGCGGGAGGCUUAACACAUGCAAGUCGAGGGGCAGCACGAGGUAGCAAUACUUUGGUGGCGACCGGCGCACGGGUGAGUAACAGGUAUGCAACUUACCCUGUACAGGGGGAUAACCCGGAGAAAUUCGGACUAAUACCCCAUAAUGUUAUUGAAAGGCAUCUUUUAAUAAUUAAAAUUACGAUGGUACAGGAUGGGCAUGCUCAACAUUAGCUAGUUGGUAAGGUAACGGCUUACCAAGGCUACGAUGUUUAGGGGGCCUGAGAGGGUGAUCCCCCACACUGGUACUGAGACACGGACCAGACUCCUACGGGAGGCAGCAGUGAGGAAUAUUGGUCAAUGGGCGCAAGCCUGAACCAGCCAUCCCGCGUGCAGGAAGACGGCGCUAUGCGUUGUAAACUGCUUUUCUGGAGGAAGAAACGCUUCGACGUGUCGGGGUUUGACAGUACUCAGAAUAG